RNAcentral lists this RNase P RNA (437 nucleotides) under Anaerolineae bacterium. Its description in RNAcentral is "RNase P RNA component class A". It matches the Rfam family "Bacterial RNase P class A". From Rfam's summary of the family: Ribonuclease P (RNase P) is a ubiquitous endoribonuclease, found in archaea, bacteria and eukarya as well as chloroplasts and mitochondria. Its best characterised activity is the generation of mature 5'-ends of tRNAs by cleaving the 5'-leader elements of precursor-tRNAs. Cellular RNase Ps are ribonucleoproteins. The record is from RNAcentral. Lineage: Bacteria; Bacillati; Chloroflexota; Anaerolineae.
AAGGCUGGUCGGGCGGUCGCGGCUUCGCGAGUUCGGAGCCGAGGAAAGUCCGCACUCCAUAGAGCACGGCGUCGGAUAAUACCCGGGGCGGGGCGAUCCCCCACAUUGGGGGGCCAACCUGCCGGACAGGGCCACAGAAAACAGGUAGCCCCCGCAAGGGGGUGAUAGUGAAAAGGUGGUGUAAGAGACCACCGGUGCCCGUAGUAAUACGGGCGGCCUGGUAACCCCCGCCGGGAGCAAGGCCAAGCAGGGACGAAGUGGUCUGCGGACCAUCGGGAAAUGUGCUCGUUUCCCCAUGUGCCUCCUGUUCAGGAGGCCAGUCCCGGGUAGGCUGCUGGAGCGGCAUGGCGACAUGUCGCCAAGAGAGAUGACCGCCCAGGCACGGAGGCAGUCUCUCCGUCGCUGGACAGAAUGCGGCUUACAGACCAGCCUGGGGC